Molecule: long non-coding RNA, 357 nt
Organism: Cynoglossus semilaevis (tongue sole)
Lineage: Eukaryota; Metazoa; Chordata; Actinopteri; Pleuronectiformes; Cynoglossidae
Exons: 3
Source: RefSeq, a predicted model, not a curated record
GGGCGCAAUGAUAUUGGAACGUUUGUAUACAAGGAAAUAAGGACUACGUUGUACGUCCUUAUUUCCGGUUGCGGUGUGUUAUGCUAACACUGUUAGCCGUUUGAGCUUCCGGUGGGCGUUGACGUACAUCAAACUGUACACAGUGGCUACAUGUGAUUGAUUUAAAAGGGUUCUUCCAAGCUGUGUACAAGGAGGAGUUUGGCAGGAGUCAAAGGUCAUUCUGGUCCCAUCAACUGUGUGGCGUUCCACCCUGACUGCAAGAGAGUGCAAUGGAGAAGCAACUUUAUUUGAAGCAGAUCACUUGUUGAGUAAGUAUUUUACUGGAAAGUGUUAUUCAGCUCAUAAUAAGGCAUGUUU